Molecule: long non-coding RNA, 132 nt
Organism: Fundulus heteroclitus (mummichog)
Lineage: Eukaryota; Metazoa; Chordata; Actinopteri; Cyprinodontiformes; Fundulidae
Exons: 3
Source: RefSeq, a predicted model, not a curated record
GUUCUUUCAGCAGUCUCAUUCAGUGUUUCACCCUACUGCAGCCGAAACACAGGAAAGCAACGGAAACAUGUGGAAUCCUGCAGUUAAAAUUCAGAAAAUCACCACAGGGGAAACUUUUGGUGCAGAUGCAGU